GAUGAACGCUGGCGGCGUGCCUAAUACAUGCAAGUCGAGCGAACGGACGAGAAGCUUGCUUCUCUGAUGUUAGCGGCGGACGGGUGAGUAACACGUGGAUAACCUACCUAUAAGACUGGGAUAACUUCGGGAAACCGUAGCUAAUACCGGAUAAUAUUUUGAACCGCAUGGUUCAAAAGUGAAAGACGGUCUUGCUGUCACUUAUAGAUGGAUCCGCGCUGCAUUAGCUAGUUGGUAAGGUAACGGCUUACCAAGGCAACGAUGCAUAGCCGACCUGAGAGGGUGAACGGACACACGGGAACUGAGACACGGUCCAGACUCCUACGGGGGGACGCAGUAGGGAAUCUUACGCAAUGGGGGAGAGCCUGACGGAGCAAAGCCGCGUGAGGGAUGAAGGUGUUCGGAUCGUAAAACUCUGUUAUUAGGGAAGAACAUAUGUGUAAGUAACUGGGAAGAUAAUGACGGUACCGAAUCAGAAAGCCACGGCUAACUACGUG
RNAcentral lists this ribosomal RNA (497 nucleotides) under uncultured bacterium. RNAcentral's name for it is "partial 16S ribosomal RNA". It matches the Rfam family "Bacterial small subunit ribosomal RNA", at positions 28 to 507 of the family's 1533-position model. The record is from RNAcentral.